This is a non-coding RNA of Poecilia formosa (Amazon molly), 83 nucleotides long. The record is from Rfam. NCBI's taxonomy places the organism in Eukaryota, Metazoa, Chordata, Actinopteri, Cyprinodontiformes, Poeciliidae.
ACCAGGAUGGCCGAGUGGUUAAGGCGUUGGACUUAAGAUCCAAUGGGCAAAAGCCCUCGUGGGUUCGAACCCCACUCCUGGUA